AUGGAGGUGACGUUCGAGACGACGCAGGGCCGCCGAUUCGUCGUCGAGAUUUGGUAUUUCUCCACCGUGCGGAGGAUCAAGGAGUACAUCCUGAAGCAGGAGGGCAUCCCCGUGGAGUCCCAGCGCCUCUUCUUCCAGGGCAAGGAGCUCGAGGACGACCGCGACACCGAGUACUACCCCAUCGUGGAGGGAUCCCACGUGCUCAUCGUCCUGCCGGAUGGCUCUCCCGCCGCCGCCGUCACCGCCGCCGCUGACGGCCAUGCCGCAGGCGCCCCCGGCGCCGUCGUCCAUGUCGUCGCCUCCGGGCCGGCCCUCGGCCAGGGCCGCAGCGUCGCGCUCGAACUGGACGCGUCCUGCACCGUCGCCCGUCUCAAGGAGAUGCUCCAGGAGCGCACGGACGGCGCGCUGCCCGCCACCAAGGUGAGCGUGUUCUUGGACAAGGCCGAGAUGGAGGAUGACAAGGCGCUGGUGGAGUUCGAGCCGUCGUCGGCUGAGGGAAUGAAGAUGGAGGUGCGCGUGGUCGUGCGCCAGCCGCCGCCGUCGCCAGCGUGCAACAACGGGAACGGGGCGGCCAAGGUUAAUAACAAGCUGCAGCAGAGGAUGUCUGUGGAGGUCAAGUGGGGCGCCAAGACCGCGACGCUGGAGGUGAGCGACAUGGACGCCGUCAAGGAGCUGCGGGCGGAGCUGGGCAGCGCGGCGCCGCACCUCCUCCUGCCCAACGACGGCGCCUACUUCUUCAUCUACAAGCAGAACGUCAUGGAGGAGGAGCGCACGCUGCGCUGGCACGACGUCAAGACCGGCGACACCAUCGAGAUCUUCAACGGCAGGGUCACCGGAGGCGCUUGA
Molecule: ribosomal RNA, 846 nt
Filed under: Triticum aestivum (bread wheat)
Lineage: Eukaryota; Viridiplantae; Streptophyta; Magnoliopsida; Poales; Poaceae
Description: partial small subunit ribosomal RNA
Source: RNAcentral